Molecule: ribosomal RNA, 426 nt
Filed under: Triticum aestivum (bread wheat)
Lineage: Eukaryota; Viridiplantae; Streptophyta; Magnoliopsida; Poales; Poaceae
Description: partial small subunit ribosomal RNA
Source: RNAcentral
AUGAAAAUAUUAGCUUGGAACUGCCGGGGGCUUGGGAAUGCCUCGGAAGUUCGAGCGUUGCUGGAUGUCCAGCGACUUUGUCGCCCAGAUGUGAUGUUCUUGUCGGAGACUCACCUCGACAUUUUUCCGGCAGAGUGUUUAUGCAAGAGACUGAAGAUGGUCCACAAGCUUAUGUGUCCUAGUGAUGGUAGAAAAGGGGGCUUAGCUCUAUCCUGGAAUAGUAACAUUAAAGUUCAUAGGCUAGCCCUAGAUGUUAUGUUUAUUGAUGUGAGAAUUGAAGAAAUAAAUAGUACUAUUUGGCGCUUGACUGGGAUGUAUGGCGAAUUCAAAUGGGAAAAUAAACACCUAACGUGGAUCCGUAUGCGGCAACUCCACCAGGCGCAUGAUCUCCCUUGGUUGCUCAUAGGAGAUCUGAAUGAGAUAUAG